AAGGCUUUAGCUUAAUCAAAGUAGCUGCUUUGCAUGCAGAAGAUGUGGGCUAGAGUCCUGCAAGUCUUA
Molecule: transfer RNA, 69 nt
Filed under: Thyrsitoides marleyi (blacksail snake mackerel)
Lineage: Eukaryota; Metazoa; Chordata; Actinopteri; Scombriformes; Gempylidae
Description: tRNA-Ala
Rfam family: tRNA
About the family: Transfer RNA (tRNA) molecules are approximately 80 nucleotides in length. Their secondary structure includes four short double-helical elements and three loops (D, anti-codon, and T loops).
Source: RNAcentral